This 501-nucleotide ribosomal RNA is filed under the name uncultured bacterium. Its description in RNAcentral is "partial 16S ribosomal RNA". It matches the Rfam family "Bacterial small subunit ribosomal RNA", at positions 30 to 523 of the family's 1533-position model. The record is from RNAcentral.
AUUGAACGCUGGCGGCAGGCUUAACACAUGCAAGUCGAGCGGAGAGAGGUAGCUUGCUACCGAUCUUAGCGGCGGACGGGUGAGUAAUGCUUAGGAAUCUGCCUAUUAGUGGGGGACAACAUUUCGAAAGGAAUGCUAAUACCGCAUACGUCCUACGAGAGAAAGCAGGGGAUCUUCGGACCUUGCGCUAAUAGAUGAGCCUAAGUCGGAUUAGCUAGUUGGUGGGGUAAAGGCCUACCAAGGUGACGAUCUGUAGCGGGUCUGAGAGGAUGAUCCGCCACACUGGGACUGAGACACGGCCCAGACUCCUACGGGAGGCAGCAGUGGGGAAUAUUGGACAAUGGGCGCAAGCCUGAUCCAGCCAUGCCGCGUGUGUGAAGAAGGCCUUAUGGUUGUAAAGCACUUUAAGCGAGGAGGAGGCUACUUUAGUUAAUACCUAGAGAUAGUGGACGUUACUCGCAGAAUAAGCACCGGCUAACUCUGUGCCAGCAGCCGCCGUAA